CUCAACGAAAGCUAAAAUGCUAUCUUUUCCCCAUUUUUCACUUUUCUAUUUCUUACCUAAAAGUGAAACUUGUUUUCUCUCAAAACUUCUCUACCCCUGCAUCUCUCUACCAUGGGAGAUGGAAAGUAUCGCUCUGGCCAACGAACCGUGAAUCGGUGGCCACCAACGGCUAAGCUAAACCCAAAACUUUCCCUCCUCAAGCCUAGAACCUAAAAACGACUCAGUUCCAACCCUAACUCACCCAAAGAACUUUGAAAACCAAAAAAAAAAACUUAAGAUAAAAAUCCCUCUUUCAUGAUCCUUUGAACCUCUCUAUACAGAUCUAUGAGCAUGCAAGGCAUUACCUUCGAGAAAACGGAUUUUUUUGCUCUAGUGAGAAAGGUCGAAUCCUCAAACGAGGAAAGGCCCUUGACUUUUCUUUGUUUGUCUUUCUUUUUUUGGCUUUGCGGUCUGAUCGAGGAGGGUACAACGUCAGGGACAAAGCCCUGAGAAGGCGGCAAUGAUGUGGGAGAAAGGAGGGGUAAAUACUUUUACCCCGAGGUCUUUUCGUCCUUCUCUGUGGUGACUGGCGUAGAAUUCGAUGGUGCUGACAUCAUCAGCUUGCAUGGGGAGCUAUCAAGGUUGCAUCUGGGGGCCGUUGGAUCAAAUCUGAUCCAACGACUAUGGCAUGAGCGGCGGUUUCCAUCCAUUAGGGUUGUAAUGAAACCAUAAAAUCAUUAGAUCCGGUCCCUUGGAUUUGAAUAGAUCCAACGGUUGGAAAUGUGGCGGCUGGGAACCCUUCUCCAAAACCCUAACAUGCUUCAAUCUAGUUCAUCAUAUCACUUCCAGAUCUGACAGUGAGGGACACACGACUCCAAGGAAAA
Hibiscus syriacus is the source of this 863-nucleotide long non-coding RNA. RefSeq lists it as uncharacterized. The record is from RefSeq and is a predicted model, not a curated record. The transcript has 2 exons. Lineage: Eukaryota; Viridiplantae; Streptophyta; Magnoliopsida; Malvales; Malvaceae.